Molecule: long non-coding RNA, 1264 nt
Filed under: Bemisia tabaci
Lineage: Eukaryota; Metazoa; Arthropoda; Insecta; Hemiptera; Aleyrodidae
Description: lncRNA ENSSSA2NGG009691
Source: RNAcentral
UAGCUCUCCCGAAUUCCCGGGAUUCCGUUCAGGGUCGUCUGAUCCCGAGGGAGAGGUGGCGAGGAUAUUAUCUUGCCUCCGUGGGGAUGCUUUUUUGUCGCCCCUCAAGUUGGGUCCACGUUCUGGAUGUUCCAGAUUGGUCAAUCGUUGUUGGACCGUGAUUACAUCGGACCGAAAAAACUGCGUCGCUCUAGUCCGAUUUCAUCAUCGUUGAUAAAAUCGCUCGCCUCUUAUCAGUGCUGAAACCGUUAUUUGUUGUCGAUUUAAGUUUUAUGCGUCUCUUGAAUUCAGUCUCGUAAAUUGAAGUCUUCGUUUUUAACAUUUACUGCGUUUGGUCAAAAAAACUUACCCUCUUUUGUGUAGUUUUUCGCUCACUUUUUCUCUACGUCGUGUUGGUCGAUUUUUUCUUAAUUAAUUUUGUUGAUUAUUUUUCACAGUCGGGUGUUUUCAGAGUCUCUGAGGUGUCUUUUAGCGUGGUCGAGUCAGAGUUUACAAUGAGAACGAUAUUAUUCAAAGUUCAAAGUGUAAUCGAAAGGAUUUUCAUUAAUAAUUAUCUGAGAUAUAAGAAAAUCUGAGAAAUUAUAGUUUAAAAAAUAUCGUGUUGUUGUGCGAUCCUACCUAGUUUAUGAAUGUAAAAUUUGAAAAAACCACUGUUUUUUAAACCUAAAACAAGCAGGAAAAAAACUGUGCCAAAGAUGUGUCGUUCCGGUUUAAAUUUUGAAAUACAAAUUCAUCGUUGCAGUUCUUCAAAACUUUACUUCUUGAAAGCCUUCCUAUUUAACCACCGUUUAUUUCUACAUAAUUCCGAGUUUCGGAAUGUUUGCCACCUUUGGGAUGUGAAACCCUUAGCUGUAAACCCAGCUUUUUUCAAACUUUUCGAUGAUGAUUAGCACUUCACAAACCAAUCGAAUCUCCAAUCUGUGGAAAAUGAGAACGCAGAUUCAUCUCACACGGAAAAAAAUCUUUGGUGCUUACAGCCAGAUAGUAGGUGAGAUUUACCAUCUUGGAUUCCCAGAUUCGACCCCUGAGAACAAUUUUGCUACGAGUACAAAUGUAAGAUGGUUAGAAACCUCAAACCGCAUGAGGUAGGCGUUGACAACAAAGAUGGUAACUCGCACCAUCAACGCUGGGCGGGCGACUCUCAAAGAUGGUAAACUGACCCAUCUGGAUGUUCAGGGCGUCCAUCAUGAAUGCAAGGAGAACCUUCAUAUAUUAUGCCCUAAACCAUCAGGAGGAGUACUUUUUUGUGAAACUUAGAUAGUAC